CCUCACUCUUGUCAUCAAAGUUCCCCAUCAGUGCUUUCCUGAUAAUGUCUUCCAGACCCAGAUUACUGGCAGGAUCUGCAAAGGAGUGACCCCUAGAACUGACUGCACCUGAGAGAGAAGAGAAAACACAGGGAAAGGUCAGGACAUCUGCAGGUGGAAGUCACAUGAAGCUUAAGCUGGAAAAAUUGAGUGAAAAGGCAAGUCCUGCAUACCCAUGUCAGAGUCACCUCCACCAGAUGAGUUCAGCUUUCGAAAUAUCUCCUGUUUCUUGGAUUUUACCAUUGGUGAAGUGUUCUCAAGUUUGGUGAAAAACGAAGGCAGGUAACUGAUACUGCCUGGAGAGCGAGAGUCAGUCCUGCCAAGACCAACAUGUGUCAAAGAGACAGAACUUGUAAAUGCACAUUUAAAUCUUCCCAAAAGCAGUCAGGCAGAAACCACCAACAGUCAUAUGAACACUGGGGGGGGCUCAAUAAUAACUGAGUUUGCUUAAACAGCAGCAAUCUGACAAAUAAACUUGAAUUAAAAAACCAAACAA
Haemorhous mexicanus (house finch) is the source of this 535-nucleotide long non-coding RNA. RefSeq lists it as uncharacterized. The record is from RefSeq and is a predicted model, not a curated record. The transcript has 2 exons. NCBI's taxonomy places the organism in Eukaryota, Metazoa, Chordata, Aves, Passeriformes, Fringillidae.